Molecule: ribosomal RNA, 451 nt
Filed under: uncultured organism
Description: partial 16S ribosomal RNA
Rfam family: Bacterial small subunit ribosomal RNA
Source: RNAcentral
CGUACACUCCUACGGGAGGCAGCAGUGGGGAAUAUUGGACAAUGGGCGCAAGCCUGAUCCAGCCAUGCCGCGUGAGUGAUGAAGGCCCUAGGGUUGUAAAGCUCUUUCACCGGUGAAGAUAAUGACGGUAACCGGAGAAGAAGCCCCGGCUAACUUCGUGCCAGCAGCCGCGGUAAUACGAAGGGGGCUAGCGUUGUUCGGAUUUACUGGGCGUAAAGCGCACGUAGGCGGACUAUUAAGUCAGGGGUGAAAUCCCGGGGCUCAACCCCGGAACUGCCUUUGAUACUGGUAGUCUUGAGUUCGAGAGAGGUGAGUGGAAUUCCGAGUGCAGAGGUGAAAUUCGUAGAUAUUCGGAGGAACACCAGUGGCGAAGGCGGCUCACUGGCUCGAUACUGACGCUGAGGUGCGAAAGCGUGGGGAGCAAACAGGAUUAGAAACCCCGGUAGUCCCA